ACUGUUUUUCUGUUCUAUAAGGAAGAAUGCUGUCCUCCUAUAACUUCUUUUAGUUUUUAAGACAACAAGCAGUGAUACAAAAAAUUAAAGGAAGUAGUGUAACAGGUUCUAUGUCAACAUGCGCAAACUGGGCUCUAAUGGUACAGCUAGUGGUUGUCCUCUAUCUAGAGGAGGCUCCAGGUUCAAACCUUGGGAGGUUUUUGCCCAAGUGUUUGCCCUGGGUAAUUCUCAAGUCGGUGGUGCUCAAAUGUUAUUCCAAAAAAAAAAAAUCCAACAUAUAUCUUAUCAAAUUGGCACUUGAACCUGUCGUCACUUCAGUUAUAUAUAUGCUUACCACUUGCGGCCUGAUAUCAAGUUGUUACCUGCACCAUAACAUAAUAAGAUAUUGUUUUCAGAACAAAAUCAGUGAAUUAUGAACUCACCAUGGGCAACAAAUUCAGAAGAACAAGUCACUUUCAUCUCUUUUUCUUGAUGUGCCGUGGUUACGAUUGGUUGCAUUGUUCAAGGAUAUAAUCCGGUCCCAAAAGAGGUGUAACUAAAGAUAACAGGUCAAAUAUUGUAGUGAAUGAAAAUAGAAAAUGUUAGAGAGGGAAGUGGAAGGAUGAGAGAAGGGGACAACGUGGGUUCAUCCAAGGAGUGUAAAAAUAACUAAAUCAAAAUGUCACUUUAUUUUUGUUGAACUGAUUCUGUUAUAUGUAUGGAUGCUAAACCACGUUAAAUCACACCAAACCCUAAUUCUUACAGAAAUAGCCUUAUCUUUUCUCAGUAGAAAAGCAGCCUAUUUCAAUUCAAGUUAGAUAUCAAGGGGCUCCUAGACUAAUGCAAAGAUAAUUAAAGACCUAAAAUAGACCCAACACUUCUUUUGCAGCUUCCUGGGGCUCCUAGACUAACGCAAAGAUAAUUAAAGACCUAAAAUAGACCCAACACUUCUUUUGCAGCUUCCUGGAAAUGGCAGAACAA
Molecule: long non-coding RNA, 960 nt
Filed under: Elaeis guineensis (African oil palm)
Lineage: Eukaryota; Viridiplantae; Streptophyta; Magnoliopsida; Arecales; Arecaceae
Description: long non-coding RNA (EGUI_LNC023970)
Source: RNAcentral